RNAcentral lists this long non-coding RNA (259 nucleotides) under Homo sapiens (human). Its description in RNAcentral is "non-protein coding lnc-ZNF101-6:1". The record is from RNAcentral. Lineage: Eukaryota; Metazoa; Chordata; Mammalia; Primates; Hominidae.
UCUCCGCUGACACACAACAAAAACAUGCUGGCCAAAGUGGAUGAGGUGAAGUUCACAAUCAACACCCAAAUGAAGAAGGUGCUAUGUCUGGCUGUGGCUGUCAGCCACGUGAAGAUGACAGACGAUGUUACACACAGACGAUGUGUGUAACAUUCACCUGGCUGUAAACUUCCUGAUGUCACUGCUCACGGAAAACCGGCAGAAUGUCCGGCCCUUAUAUAACAAGAGCACCACCGGCAAGCCCUAGCACCUGUAUUAA